CCGCCCGUCACAUCAUGAAAGCCGGUCGUACCCGAAGUCAAUGCGCUAACCGCAAGGAAGCAGUUGCCGAAGGUAUGGCUGGUGAUUGGGAUG
This 93-nucleotide ribosomal RNA is filed under the name uncultured bacterium. RNAcentral describes it as "partial 16S ribosomal RNA". It matches the Rfam family "Bacterial small subunit ribosomal RNA", at positions 1390 to 1482 of the family's 1533-position model. The record is from RNAcentral.